Non-coding RNA from Pelobates cultripes (western spadefoot toad), 429 nucleotides. The record is from the annotation of a GenBank genome assembly. NCBI's taxonomy places the organism in Eukaryota, Metazoa, Chordata, Amphibia, Anura, Pelobatidae.
CCAGAAGAUUGGAAGUUAGCGAAUGUUGUGCCCAUUUACAAGAAAGGUAAUAGGGAGGAGUCGGGCAACUAUAGGCCAGUAAGCCUUACUUCAGUAGUGGGGAAAGUGAUGGAAACCAUGUUAAAGGAUAGGAUUGUUGAACAUCUAAAAACACAUGGAUUUCAAGAUCAGAGACAACAUGGGUUUACUUCAGGGAGAUCAUGCCAAACUAAUCUUAUUGAUUUUUUUGAUUGGGUAACUAAAAUUAUAGAUCAGGGUGGUGCAGUAGACAUUGCUUACCUAGAUUUCAGUAAGGCUUUUGACACUAUUGCACAUAGAAGGCUUAUCAAUAAACUGCAAUCUUUAAGUUUGGAUUCAAAUAUUGUUGAAUGGGUAAGGCAGUGGCUGAGUAACAGGCAACAGAGGGUUGUAGUUAAUGGAAUAUAUUCG